RNAcentral lists this long non-coding RNA (380 nucleotides) under Chinchilla lanigera (long-tailed chinchilla). Its description in RNAcentral is "lncRNA (ENSCLAG00000023966.1)". The record is from RNAcentral. Lineage: Eukaryota; Metazoa; Chordata; Mammalia; Rodentia; Chinchillidae.
GAUCAGUCAUUCUGAUUACCAAAUUCAAGCAUGCAAAAUUGGUAAGGAGGGACCUUGGAUGCAGAAAACCUCAGUGAGCUGCCUGGGGACCAGGAUCCUCCGGCCCUGUCUCCCCCGCCUCCCGCUGCCACUGCAGUAGGGGCCUUGGACUCGGGAAGAGAGACAAUUUUAUAGGCUGCGGCAAAAUAUAUUAUGUGAAUUAUCAUCCCUUGCUUAUGGUGUGUGCUUCUCUGUAUUCAAUUCCCUCGAAACAUUUCAUGAGGUGAAAAUACCUGUUUACAGAAGUUGUGGAAACCCGCACUGCUCCAAAGGUAAACACACAACCUUGCGCACAUUCUAGUCUCUGUCAUUUAGUAAACAUUUGUAACCACCUGCUACUC